Molecule: long non-coding RNA, 8802 nt
Filed under: Sus scrofa (pig)
Lineage: Eukaryota; Metazoa; Chordata; Mammalia; Artiodactyla; Suidae
Description: lncRNA (ENSSSCG00040041136.1)
Source: RNAcentral
UUNUUUUUUUUUUGCUUUUUAGUGCCACACCUGCGGCAUAUGGUUGUUCCUAGGCUAGAGGCCACAGCAAUGCAGGAUCUGAAUUCACUGCACUACUGGAUCCUUAACCCACUGAGUGAGGCCAGGGAUUGGACCUGCAUCCUUCCUCAUGGAUCUCAGUUAGAAUUGUUAACUACUGAGCCACAAAGGGAACUCCAGACAUUAAAGUCUUAAUGGUAGACUCACAUUGACAUGAAUGAAGACUGUCUAUGUCAAUGAAGACAUCAUAUAAAAUCUAUAACAAUUACUUGAGUUUUUCACAAAGUAGUUACUAGAAUAACUUCUUUUUUUUUUUUUUUUUUUUUUUUUUUUAGGGCCUCACCAGCAGCAUAUGGAGGUUCCCAGGCUAGGGAGGCCCAAGAAAUAGCAAAAAAAGACCAAAAAAAAAAAAAAAAAUGAAAAAUAUGGGAAAUUGUAAACAUGCUUUAUUUUAGAAACUGUAUUCUCAGGGCAAGGUGUAUAGUAUUUUCUCAGUGAACAGAUGAACAUUCCAAUAUUUCCUGAUUUACCACAUUAACCCUGACACAUACUUAUUUAGGUCCCUCUUCCAAAUUCUAGUUCUUACAUUCCUUCCUUUUCUUUUCAAAUGGAGUAGAGUGUUUAAUCUCAUAUUUUUCUCUUACCAACAUCAAGAGAAAAAACCUUUUACAUGAAAAAUAGAAAAACUUUAAAGCAGAGAGAAAUAAGAUGACCAAUGUCCCACUGUUAUAACAGCCUAUAAUCAGGGAAAAUGUUUCCUCCUUGCUAGGUAAACACACAUGUAUAGAAAUUUGAAUGUUGCAUGAGGUGUUUAUAUUUUUAACAUUUAUACAACAAUCUCAGAAUCAAUCUAGGCUUCAUGAAAGUUGAAAAAAUUCUAUUGGCCUGAAAUUUUCAAUAAUUCUAAUUUUUUAAAAACCUCAGAUAGUUUCAGUUUUCCCUCCUGUGACUUUUUAAACACUUAUUUAAAUAGUGUGUGUCGACAUAUUGUUAAAUAAAAUGCAUUUUGUGACCUAUCAGAGAAAAUUGCCCUGAUAUUAUUUUGGAAAGCAUCUUAUACAAAUCCUUAUCACUGCUCCAAAGGAUUCUACCAUUAUGGCAGCAUGAUAGAUUGUAAGGUCCAGAAUUUUGAGUGAGGCAUGAAUAGGUAUUCCAUUAAAAAAAGUUUGUGGUCAAGUUGAUUUGGAAAACACAAAGUUAGAGACAUUUCUUUAUUACACAAUUUUAUAGAAUAUUUAAAAAUUAGAAAGUGCAAGAGUUCCCAUGUGGCUCAGCAGUAACAAACUCCACAAGUAUCCCCAAGGAUGUGGGUUCAAUCCCUGGCCAGUGCAUGAAAAAGCUCCAAGAGGAAGAUUUAUUGUGUGGUGAUCCUAAACUUAUUUUGUCGCAAAAUUAUUUUACCACAAAAAUCCUCAUAAACUUAUUCUUAUUGUUCAAUGAUUAGAUUUGAAGUUUAAUUUCACAUAUAUCUAGAUGAUUUGGAAAGUGUUAAUUCAAUAAUUUUAAACUAAUAACAGUAUAUAUUGUUCAGUUAGAUUAAGAUUUCAAGAGUUGAGCAAUGUGAUAAAAAAUGCUUUUUUCUCUUUUUCACAAGCAAAUUCAUUUUGACAGUUACUCAUAUUAAUAGUAACAUACUUUUAACAUUCCAUGUGUAUAACAGAUAGUGUUUUUAUACUAUCAAAUAUUUCCCCACAAAUUUUAAAAUCCUUGUUUCCACUGAUCAUUUAAAGAUUUAAAAAUAUCUAGGGUCUUUACAUUUUGCUUUGUUUCACUAUGAGUUUUGCAUUUUAUAUUUUGAAGAUAACUCUGUCUUUAGGGUUGCCAGAUAAAAUAUAGGACUUGGUUUUGGUUUCUGGUUUUUGCUAAAAUUUGGCAACUCUACUUGUGCUACUCAGAAUCAAAGCAAACAUAUGGCACUAGUAUGCCAUCAAUAAAUGUUUCAAAAAUUCGUUAAAAAUACCUUCCUGGAAACAGAAACUCUUGUGUUUCAUUAGCUUUGCUACCAAAUAUAAUAUAUAAAGUAUGCAUCAUGCAAAGAAAAUUGUCAUUUUUUUAUGAAGCUCCUAUCAAGCAGCUUAUGAAAACAGAAUAAAAAUUACAUAAAGUGAAGAUCAACUGUCACUAAUUUAGUUCAAGACUCACACUUAUUUGGUAUUUUAAAUAUCUUUAUACCAUAAAAAAUGUUACUAAAAAUAUCCCUGUCUUACCUGUUUUUAUUAGAAUUUUUAAAAGGAGAAAGGUAAAUUAUGUCAUAAAAUGUUCUUCAUAAAUAAGUAAUUAAAACUGCAGGUACACCAAGAAACUAGAAACUAACCCAUUUGUAAGAAUGAACCUAAGGAACCCAUAAUGAUAUAAUGGGGCCCUUUUCUUUUUAAAAUAUAGCAAAUGCAUUUAAAAAUACUAAUGUUUACCUUCUGUUUGUUGAAUAGGGUCUUGCAUAAUUUUUUGAUAACAUUCAUAUUGAGCUGUCAUGAUUUUAUUUCUAGUAACAGUCAACUGAAUUAAGUCAUCAGGGUUUUCUUCUUCUGUUUCUGCUAUGACAAGAAUCUAGGAGAGUAAAAAAAAUAAAACUUCAGAAUUGUGAGAAUGUCUGUCAGAGGCAAUUUGUUAUGAUGGAAAAACAUGAUGUGCUGCAUGGGGCUCUGGAGGAAAAUCUCUGAUUUGUAGUAUUGCCAGUUUCCAUUGUAAAUAGCCCCCUCGUGUUCAAUGUCAAGCCACCAGUAAAAGUUGCCAUUAGCAAUACUGGGAGGCACAGUCCACGCUCUCUUCAGAAGCCUGUGGGAGUCAUCUCCUGGCCACGUAUUCUGGAAUGCAGACAGCUGUAUUCAAAAUCCACCUCUACUUUUUUACCCACUAUGGGAAUGUGGGUAAAAUAUUUAAUCCCCUAAGCCUCUGCUUUCUUAUUUUCAAGCAGGAUAGAAUAGCAUCAAGAUAAGCAGGGAAAGUAUCUGGCACAUGAUAAACACUCAAAAUUGUUGCCAUUUUUAUAAUUAUAUUUUGAUAAUCCAAAUGACAAGUUCAUUUAUGAUGCUGGUAAAUAGAACUUUUAUUAUAUGCACAGCGAUAAAAGGUUUUAGACAAGGUAUAUAUUUAUAUACUUCUACUUUAGUAGCACUAUUUCUAGCUUCACUUACUCUUUAAUUUCUACAUGACUUUUUUUUUGUACCAUGAAGCCUGUAAAAACUUGUCUUCAACCUUAUUUCUUCUUUUCUUUUGCAUUAAUUCUAUUAUUUUCCAUGAGCAGUUAUAUUUCUACUCUUUGUCCCCUUAUUCUUGAUUUUCUGUUCUCUAGCAGGAAGUUGAAUUUAACUUAAAUUUAAAUAGUAAUAUUCCCUUAGUGUGUUUCAACAUCAUCUGACCGCCAUUGAACAUGAACUCUUUCAUUCUUUGAUUGGUUUUGAUUUCUUAAUAAAGAUUUAUGCAACUCUUGUGCUGCACGAGAAAUAAGCAGUUUUCAUCAAGAAGAGAUGCUUUUCUCCUGUUCUCAGAAAGUUUAUAGAAUUGCAUAAAAAUCAAUAUCAUUUUUAUUUUUACUUAAAACCCACUGCACCUUGUCUGAAUGAAUUCAAGAAAAAAGGUCAUAGUUCCUUAAAUUACAAUAAUCAGAUUGGUAAUCUGUUACAGAAUUACCUGCAGGGAAUCAGCUUUGGCCUGUGCAACUCAUUGGCAUGCUCAAGGGAGGGUGGAAGCUAAAGAAACAGGAAUCCUAUCUUGCAUUCUAGUCUGUUUACCUAAGAUAACAUCUAGGAGUGCAGAAUUUGGACUGUUCCUAGACUUGGGAAUGUUUUUAAAUCCAAAUGCUGACAGGAAUGUGGUUGUGUUUUUCUCCUGUUUAAGUUUUCUAUAUUUUUCUUGAGUUUCUUUGUCUGAAUCUUUGUGGGGUUUACUUGGAAACACCACAGGAAAAUUAUUUGCUCUCACAGAAUUAGAUGAGAUUAUGUCUCUCAGUUUCUCAUUCAUAUAUUGAGCUAAGAGUAAAGUCACUGCUUUAAUGUAAGAAAAAUAAGAACAAAAUAUUUCUGUAAAUAAAAAUAAAAUUAAAUGUAUAAGGCACAUAACCCCUCCAGUAUAGCAACUGAUUUUUAGUCAUUCUUAGUCUACCUUCUACCUCCAGCCCACAUCCCCUGAAUAUUUGUGCAGAGGCACACAGGAGUGCACACACUCACCUACACAUCUGCCACAAAUUUAGCAUCCAUGCUUGAAGAAAAAUGGACUCAAUAUUCUUUUUGGAAUGAAUGGAUGAGGAAAGUAAUUUUAAACAUAGUGCAUGGGUACAAAUUGCUUUCAGUCAUAUAAAUCAAUCAGUUGGCAGAAUAAGGGGAAACUCAACAGGUUGAAAUUGUUAUUUUAAUAGAUCUAAUUCAGAAUCAACAGAUCUGGUUGAAAAUAUUUCAUCUACUAUGUACGACUCCCCAAAGAGUCACUUCAUUUUUUUUCUAAACUCUGGCAAUUACUUUCCUCCAGUGUUUGCACUUUUGUAUCCAUAGUCCUUCCUUACUUGACAACCCCCCCGCCACUGCACCACCACAUUAUAGGGCCUAUUGUAGGAUUCAAAGCCUAAAAGUGUACACUAGGAAGGAAAUAAUUAUUGCUAAGUUGAUUAGAUAUAUAAUAUAUUUAAUUUAUGCAUCAAAUAAUCACAUGUUAUUUUGUGUGAUUAACUUUUUAUCAAUUAUGGGUAUAUUGGAAGUUAAAAUGUAAGUAAUCUUAGAUAGGAAGAUAUAUGAGAAUUUAUGCUUACCAUAAAAAAAGGUAAGAGAAACAGAAAAUACAGGAUAUACUUUUUCUCCAUCAUUAAAGCCGAAAUGAACUAUGUGAUGUAAUAUAAAUCAAACUGCAAUAGAAAAUAAAAGAAAUAUAAUUUAUCAACAUUUAUGAAAUAUACAUGGCUCUCAGUGGAAAAUAUCUUUUAAAACCACACAAUAGUUUUGCUUCAAGGAUUCAAUUAAGAGUCUUACAUAUUACAAAUGUUAAGAGCAUUAUGGCUUAAAGUAGUAAAGAGCUUAAUUAAAUACAUUUUAAUUUAAUUAGUUUACAAACAGGAAAGCCUAUUAUAGAUAUAUUUUUAAGUAACUAGAAACAUCUUACAUUUUACCAAAAUUGGUAUUAAAUGGCUAAAGUAUCAAAAUUAAGUUUCACAAGAACAAAGAAAUACAAGUUUUGAUAGCAUAUUUUACUAUAAAACUUACCUUUACUUCCUAAAAUAUUAAUCUCAUUUUAAACUUUAUAACUCUUCAACAAUUUAAGGGAGAAAACUGUAUUUAGGCCAAUUUCUUGAGAAAGAAAAUCUAUGUGUCAUUAAAAAUGGCCUUAUAAAUUAAUUUUUCUUCACUGCGGCAUUUAAUUUUUUUAAUCAAGAAAUAAAAGAUUCCCUAAGUCUUUAAUUAUUUACUUAUUAUUAAAGUAAGAUUACAGAAGAUGGAGAAUACCAAAUAAAAGUAUUUCUAUUAAGUAUCAAUUCCCUGUUGACUUAAUUCUAAGAGUUAAACAUUGUGGGGGUAAAUUAUGCAAUGCUUACUCCCUAUAAGGUCCAUGAGCAACCUACUCUGGUAUGACUUUUAUGAAAUAUAAGUUACCAUGAUAUAGUCAUAAAAUGUAAUUUUUAUUUAACUGAAUGUAUAGAAAAUGUUUUUCAAGGGAGAUUAAAAAAAUUUUAACCAAUAGAUACUUGCCAGUGAAUUAUGAACUUAGGUUUAAUCUUAUUAGGAAGUGUGUCACGAUUUUUAUUAUAGGGUGAAUGUUAGAGUAAAAAUUAUUAAAAUGUUUUCUAUGUUUUACUUAUUUUUAUUAUCAUAUUCAAGAACACCAUUGAGUAGCAAUGAGAGCCGUUGCUUGUCCUCAUCAAUGACUUACCUAGAAAAAGCUUUUCUUUUUAAAUGUAGCAAUCUUCCAAAUAGUAUUUUCUCUUCUAACAGGUAUUUUGAGCUUUUAUUUUUAGUUGAUCUUAAGGAAAAUACAACCAAAAAAUAUGAAAAAUUGCAUUAAUUUUAGAUACAAAAAUCAUCUAACAGAAGAAAAAUAAUUAAUCAGUGUUUUGCUGUUCAGUAAUUAAUGAGUUGAUAUUUUAGUUUUUAUUACAUUGUACCAUGAGAAGAAUCUAAUUUUCCAAUACUUACAUGCACAAUUGUCUCCAGACUCAAAUCACAUUUUCUCUUGGAUCAGAAUCAACAUUGUCUCGAAGAAUUUCUUAAAUACAAAGGUCAAGACCUGAAAUAUUGAUUGAUAUAAUUUAAUACUAUUUAAAUGAGCCAAAAUCAUUUCAAAUUUUCAAAGACUAUAUCACUAUUAAAAUGAUACUUUUAUUAAUAUAUUCUAAUUUUUAAGUUAUUUUGCUUAUAUUUGUUUUGUCACAUAUAUUUGUUAUUUUCUAUUAUAUGGAGAAACAUCAAUUUUCAUUUAUCCAGAAUGGUAUUGAGCAAUUAAGUGAAUAUUUUACUUAUGUAAAUUUCAAAGAACUAGAAUAUAAUAAAAACUCUUUUCAAUUAAACUAUAAACUUCCUUUGAAUUAUUUUAUUUAGUAUUUAUUGGAAUAUUUUAUCAGUCUUAGUUACUUAUAUCUAUUUUCCUAGCUGGCGUGGUUUCUCAAAACCAGAAACUAUAUAUAAUUGAUCUUUGUAUGCUUCAUGUCAUUUAGUUAAUUUACAUUUGCUGUAUAAAUUAAUGAAUAAAUGAAUAAAAAAUGAAAUAAUAAAGUACUUAAGGAUUUUAAGCUAACAACAAGGAACACUAAUCAUAACUAUUCAUUAACUAUAAUUUCUUCUGUUAGAAGAUAUUAGAUAGUGUGUGAAUCUAUACUGACAUUGGAAAUUGAGAAAAAAGUUCUUAUAUCAGCAUGUUUAUCUUAAUACCAAAUAAGAUCCUUUACUCAGUUUUUGAGUUCUGUAGUUUGAAUAUUGAAUAAAUAGUAGUUUACUGUCUUUGGAAGUCAUAUAGCUUAAGCCAAUUUUAAAACAUUCAUAGCUCACAUUUUUAUAUAUUAAAUAUAUAUAAGACAGAAAUACACAAAUGAGAAUGUAAGGAAAUAUUAUUUUACUAGGAAAUCAAGUUUUUAUUAAACAAUGCUUUGAUAUUUUACAUGAGUCAUGAUUAAAUUACCUUCAGUGUGUACAUGGCCUCAAAAAUUGAAGAGGAAAGUACCUCAAAAACUUGUCAGAAUUUUCCUAUAUCCAACAUAUUUGAAAAAUAUUUCACUCAACACUACAGGUUAUUUUUGUCAUUUAUCUAAUGGGUUUCAAAGUCAGAGUUCCAAAACGUAUCUUAGGGAAAUAUAUCUUAGUGUUCAAUUGAUCAUUCUGGUACCAAUAAUUUAAGAAGACUUUAUUCAACUCAAGAAAUAUUUAUCAAUGCAAGUAAUUUCACGUUUAUAGCUUUCUUUUUUUCACCCUAUUCCCUAGUGAUCUGGAAAAUGUGCUACCAGGAACAAGAUUGUAUUUUGCACUGUGCAAAUUCAAAGCACUCCUAACUAAGGGGGCAGGUUUAUGACCCCCGGUUUUAUCAAGGAUACAACAGCAAGUUUGGGUGGCAGUCUUUCAAAAACAUGGUGGAUAACUGUAUUCUUCACUAGGUCUGGCAGUAUUCAUUUUAUGUGGUGAUCCAUUUCACUUGAGGAAAUCUACUCUGCAAAGGACUUAGCAAAUUUCCCUGCCAGCAGACACAUGUGGUGAGUGGUGGUUAUAGAAAAAUUACUUCUUUCACCAAGAGUUCCGUAGGUCAAUAAUGAAUGGAUCAUGCCUGAGCAUAUAGAUAAUGCCAUUGCAGAUACAUCUGAAGGUCAUUUUAGAUUGAUUCUCAUGCUGGUAGGUUUAAUGACAUCAUUAUUAUCAGAGGUAUGUUUAAUUUUACUCCUUGGUUUAUCUCAUUGGUUCUUUGUUGCCUGGUCAAAUAUUGUAGUUCCCAUUCAAUUUUGAGGAGAGAUCAAGGACUUAAUUAGAGGAGGUCAAGUUAAAUGAGUCUGGCAGUGGAUUUUUCCAUGUGAGCUUAGGUUUGUUUAAUGUGAAAGACUUCUUCAAAAUUGAGAAAUUUCUCAUUUAAACUUUUAAGUAAAUCUGUAAUCACAAUGAUACUAGUGGUAGCUAUUCAUAUUUUCUCUUUCUCAUGGAUCCUAUAGAUGCUGUUUUAUAUUUUUACUCCUCAAAAUUAAACAAAGUGGCAGAUUUGGUUCUAGUACUAGAAACAAAAUAACUUUUUUUACUGUACACAUGAAAUAAAAAAUAGCUUAUUUCUAGAUAGUCUUUAGGCUUCUUGCCCAAAGAAUCAUCAAAAUAAAAUUUAAAUGAUUUAUUUUAUCACAAGAAGAACUUUGACUUAAAACCUCAAAUAACUUUUGAAAUAUAUCUUCCUAGUUACUCAAGGCUUUAUGUAGCAUCAUUCUCAGUCCAUCUUAACAUCUCAAUAGAUCUGCAACACAAGAUAUUUCUAAAUUUCUUUUUAUAGUUCUACAUUUCCAAAUCCACAAAUUUUAAUCAAUCUUCUUGGCUUAUUUCAGUGUAAAAACAUGUUUUAUUCUACAUAAACAUUAUAAAUCAGUGUGACUUAAGCAACACUAAUUUACCAGAACACAAAAACAUCCAGUGUCUUUCAAACCUACUUAUUUCUCAAAUUUUUGUUAUACCUAUAUACACUUUCCAAUUUUUUAAUAAUAAUUCUUAUUUUGUGGUGAGUUACCUAACCCUAAUAUUAAAAACGUAUGUUCACUACAAGAUUAAGAAAAAAACCCAUGGCGUUCCCAUCAUGGUUCAGCAGUAAUGAAGCUGACUAGUAUCUAUAAGAUAUGGGUUCAACCCC